GGGAAAGCUAACAUGGCAGGUCGAACGGAGUUAUUAUUCAGAAGUUCUUCGGGAUGGAAGGAUAAGAACUUAGUGGCCGUUGGGUGAGUAACGCGUGGGUAACCUGCCCUUUUGUGGGCAACAACUUCGAGAAAUCGGAGCUAAUACCGCAUAAUAAUAGAGGAUCGCAUGAUUCUUUAAGGAAAGAUGGCCUCUGAAGAUGCUAUCGCAAAAGGAUGGACCCGCGUCUGAUUAGCUAGUUGGAAGGGUAACGGCCUACCAAGGCAACGAUCAGUAGCCGGCCUGAGAGGGUGAACGGCCACAUUGGGACUGAGACACGGCCCAAACUCCUACGGGAGGCAGCAGUAGGGAAUCUUCCACAAUGGACGAAAGUCUGAUGGAGCAACGCCGCGUGAGUGAAGAAGGGUUUCGGCUCGUAAAGCUCUGUUGGUAGUGAAGAAAGAUAGAGGUAGUAACUGGCCUUUAUUUGACGGUAAUUACUUAGAAAGUCACGGCUAACUACGUGCCAGCAGCCGCGGUAAUACGUAGGUGGCAAGCGUUGUCCGGAUUUAUUGGGCGUAAAGCGAGUGCAGGCGGUUCAAUAAGUCUGAUGUGAAAGCCUUCGGCUCAACCGGAGAAUUGCAUCAGAAACUGUUGAACUUGAGUGCAGAAGAGGAGAGUGGAACUCCAUGUGUAGCGGUGGAAUGCGUAGAUAUAUGGAAGAACACCAGUGGCGAAGGCGGCUCUCUGGUCUGCAACUGACGCUGAGGCUCGAAAGCAUGGGUAGCGAACAGGAUUAGAUACCCUGGUAGUCCAUGCCGUAAACGAUGAAUGCUAAGUGUUGGGAGGUUUCCGCCUCUCAGUGCUGCAG
Molecule: ribosomal RNA, 850 nt
Filed under: uncultured bacterium
Lineage: Bacteria
Description: bacterial SSU rRNA
Rfam family: Bacterial small subunit ribosomal RNA
Source: RNAcentral